Eptesicus fuscus (big brown bat) is the source of this 823-nucleotide long non-coding RNA. RefSeq lists it as uncharacterized. The transcript is spliced from 6 exons. The record is from RefSeq and is a predicted model, not a curated record. Lineage: Eukaryota; Metazoa; Chordata; Mammalia; Chiroptera; Vespertilionidae.
CUGUGCAGUGGAAUACACCACAAUGAAGAAAGAGGAUCACUCCUGGACUGAUCUCUCUGCUGAUGACCAGCGGGCACUGAAUCCACGUUCCAGAAGAGGCAUUGCAGUGGCAGCAUGGGUGUCCACGCAUCCCUCUCUGCCCACGACUAUGUGGAGUCCCUGCACCACAACUUCUGGGCUACCCUGCUGUAUGCUAGCCCCCAUGAAGGAGACCUGAUCAGUGGUGCCAUCAAGACCCCGUUCCCGUUGGUUGACGUUCUCAUUAUGUUCUGAGGGCAAAAGCAAUCUAUUUCAAGACAGCAAUAGGCUUUGAGCUGAAAAUGGCAAUCGGCCAUCCCUGCUGUAUAGUGCCAUCACUGAACCAGUCUCUGUGGCUAGAACUGUGGAAUGUGCUUAUUUGCCAGGCCUGAGUCAGGUGGCCAUUCCUGGACUACUGGGGUACAGCAUCUACUGUGACUAUGCCAUGUCCAUCUGCCUGGAUGUGAUUGUUUACCUGCACUGCCACAAACAAUUUUCCAGUCAACAACCAUGACAGGUGGGAUGAGAGGGACCAGGAGAGGUAAAACCUGCCCCUUACCAGGAGAGGUAAAAUCUGACCUUCUGCCCUGACCUUUCCUAGACUUUGGGAGCAGGUCCACGGGUCUGGCUCGGCAUGCCUGGGGGGAUGUGUUGUCCGGGAGGGUCCCCAUCACCAUGCUUUAGAAUGACUUCCUGCUGGGUCUUUUGUGGCCGGGUCACAGUGGCAGUGGACAGCAGUGGGACAGUGGUGCUGGUCAGCCAGGAAGGGAUCCAGAGGCCACCCUUGCACUUCUCCAGGGGAAGG